Oreochromis aureus is the source of this 331-nucleotide long non-coding RNA. The record is from Ensembl. NCBI's taxonomy places the organism in Eukaryota, Metazoa, Chordata, Actinopteri, Cichliformes, Cichlidae.
GGCGGAGUGAGUAGACGCUCUCUACCGAGGUCUGCACAGAAAGUUCGUGAACAACGACGGUGUGGGGAGCUACAGCCCCCGUCCCCCAGUGCAUGAAGCAGGCAUGGAGAAGAUCCAGGCCCCAGAGUGCGAGAGCCCAAGGACGAUCAUCGGAGGGGCAAAACCGUGCCACCCUCCUGGGAAGAGCUGAGGAGAGCCCCAGACAAGGGGUCACCCGGCAGGGAGUGUGGUGAGGGGAGAUAGGCCUCCAUACCUUGGAGGGCCUGAGAUGUACCCAGACAGAGAGGUGGAGUCUAAGACCCAACCUGACAUAUAGACAGACGAACAGGCA